UUUAGCAUUCCUUCUUGGAGAAAUCCUGUACAGUGGAUACUACUGAGAAACUGAAUGAUGUUCCUAGAAAUUUCAGAGCCUCGAGUCCUGAUUAUAUCAUUCUUUUGCUCUGACAAUGGCCAAGCUGACUUUUAUUCAUGACCCUACUUGUACGUCUGUGUUUCAGAGAUCACGUGACUGAGAGAGAGGUUUUUCCUUCAUAUCCAUGGCUAGACACAGGUGUGCACAUUUUGAGGGGCUACACAGACCUUCAGUUUGACUAUCUAUAGCCAGUCUAUUGUUCUUCGAGAACAGAGCUUCAUUAUUAGCGAGUUGACAUUCAACGAGGCCAAGCUGACCUCUCCGUCUCCUACAAAAGGGCCUUACUGAAAGGGAG
Gallus gallus (chicken) is the source of this 376-nucleotide long non-coding RNA. Lineage: Eukaryota; Metazoa; Chordata; Aves; Galliformes; Phasianidae. The record is from Ensembl.